GAUGAACGCUGGCGGCGUGCCUAAUACAUGCAAGUCGAGCGAACGGACGAGAAGCUUGCUUCUCUGAUGUUAGCGGCGGACGGGUGAGUAACACGUGGAUAACCUACCUAUAAGACUGGGAUAACUUCGGGAAACCGGAGCUAAUACCGGAUAAUAUUUUGAACCGCAUGGUUCAAAAGUGAAAGACGGUCUUGCUGUCACUUAUAGCUGGAUCCGCGCUGCAUUAGCUAGUUGGUAAGGUAACGGCUUACCAAGGCAACGAUGCAUAGCCGACCUGAGAGGGUGAUAGGCCACACUGGAACGGAGACACGGUCCAGACUCCUACGGGAGGCAGCAGUAGGGAAUCUUCCGCAAUGGGCGAAAGCCUGACGGAGCAACGCCGCGUGAGUGAUGAAGGUCUUCGGAUCGUAACACUCUGUUAUUAGGGAAGAACAUAUGUGUAAGUAACUGUGCACAUCUUGACGGUACCUAAUCAGAAAGCCACGGCUAACUACGUG
RNAcentral lists this ribosomal RNA (497 nucleotides) under uncultured bacterium. Its description in RNAcentral is "partial 16S ribosomal RNA". It matches the Rfam family "Bacterial small subunit ribosomal RNA", at positions 28 to 507 of the family's 1533-position model. The record is from RNAcentral.